This 487-nucleotide ribosomal RNA is filed under the name Escherichia coli. Its description in RNAcentral is "bacterial SSU rRNA". It matches the Rfam family "Bacterial small subunit ribosomal RNA", at positions 1 to 477 of the family's 1533-position model. Lineage: Bacteria; Pseudomonadati; Pseudomonadota; Gammaproteobacteria; Enterobacterales; Enterobacteriaceae. The record is from RNAcentral.
AAAUUGAAGAGUUUGAUCAUGGCUCAGAUUGAACGCUGGCGGCAGGCCUAACACAUGCAAGUCGAACGGUAACAGGAAGAAGCUUGCUUCUUUGCUGACGAGUGGCGGACGGGUGAGUAAUGUCUGGGAAACUGCCUGAUGGAGGGGGAUAACUACUGGAAACGGUAGCUAAUACCGCAUAACGUCGCAAGACCAAAGAGGGGGACCUUCGGGCCUCUUGCCAUCGGAUGUGCCCAGAUGGGAUUAGCUAGUAGGUGGGGUAACGGCUCACCUAGGCGACGAUCCCUAGCUGGUCUGAGAGGAUGACCAGCCACACUGGAACUGAGACACGGUCCAGACUCCUACGGGAGGCAGCAGUGGGGAAUAUUGCACAAUGGGCGCAAGCCUGAUGCAGCCAUGCCGCGUGUAUGAAGAAGGCCUUCGGGUUGUAAAGUACUUUCAGCGGGGAGGAAGGGAGUAAAGUUAAUACCUUUGCUCAUUGACGUUA